Antechinus flavipes (yellow-footed antechinus) is the source of this 3263-nucleotide long non-coding RNA. RefSeq lists it as uncharacterized. NCBI's taxonomy places the organism in Eukaryota, Metazoa, Chordata, Mammalia, Dasyuromorphia, Dasyuridae. The record is from RefSeq and is a predicted model, not a curated record. The transcript is spliced from 2 exons.
CCUCCCUCCCCCCCCUCCCCCCGGCGAGCAGUCCGAUGUGCGUUAAACAUGGGAAUCUCCGCCGCGGCCAGUCCGCGGAAGCAGAUUAUAUUCUCCUCAACAGCUCAUUUUCUACCGAGCUUCAAGGCUUGUCCGAAGCUUUCCGAGGGCUCUGGGAGCCCGAUGUUCCUCCGGGCGAUCAGUCCCGGUUCUCGGCUGAGCACGCGGUCACAGAGAGCCCCGGAGGCGUCCCGGGCGCGCCGCUGGGGAGUCUCAAGGCGGAUUCGAACCCAGAUCUGGGAUUCUGGCUACUACACGCCCCAGCUCUCCAGGAGGAGGAGGAAGAGGAGGCCGGCGCUGAAGAAGGCAAGGGGGGGAAGAUAGAAGGGAGAAGGAAAAGGAGAGAAUUCCGUGGCCGCCCAGGCAGCUGUCCCGGAGCAGGACCUGACCUCUGCCCCCCGGCAGAGCUGAGAACUGGGGAGGGUCUGGGGAGGGGCGUGCGCUUCGCAAAGAGAGGCAGGCGCACAGCGGGGGCGGGAGCAGGCACACAGGGAUGGGGGGAGGGGCGGGUAAAUGCGCGCACCCCCCAUGCACCCGAAGCUUUUUGAGGAACAAAAACCGAAACCGAAAGGCCCCAGAACGCAGCGCCAGCCCCGUUUCGGUUUUGCCCCCGGAACAGACACAGAAAAGCGCCUCCCGCGCGGAGGCCGCCCAGGUCCCGAGAGCAGGACCUGGGACCCCGGGCUUCCCAGGCUUCUCCUCUCAGGCUUCUCCUCUCGGACCUCCAGAGGGCGCUGUUUUAUGGGAAAGCCUCGGGGGAUCGUGGAAGGAUCCCGCUUCCCCGGGAGCCUGCGGAGGACUGGGGAGCCCCUGGAGGACCGGGGAGCCUGCGGAGGACCGAGGAGCCUGCGGAGGACCGGGGAGCCCCCGGAGGAAAGGGCAGACGGGGCCGAGCCAACACUUUUGGGAUUGGAGAGAUCGGGACCGGCUCGUUUUACAAAGAGGGAAACCGAGGCCCAGGGAGACCAAGUUCAAGGUCACGUGGGCGGGGUGAUUUGGCCGCAGUCCGGAGGGGAUGGGCCCACGGGCCGCGAGGGGCACGGCCGGGCGUGGGGGUGAGCCCCCUGCCUGUCAGAAUGCUCGCGUGGGAGGGCCGGGCACGGGGACCUAGCGCGAGGUGGGUCCCACUUCCAAGCCCCAACCCCCUCGUUUUCAGAUAAGGAGGCUGUGGCAGAGGCAGGACUGUGCCAGGCUGGCCCCCGCCUAGAACCCGAGCCCUGUGGCCCGGCCACCUGAGGACGAGCCGCUCCGGAAGCCCUUCCCCUCUGACAGCUGUUCCUAGGUCAGGGGUCAGCCCUGUGGGGGCUGGGCUGCCUUUGGUUCAGCUUGGGGGUCCCUGGGAAGGGCUGGGCAGUCCUCGGUCCCAGAUCGGCCCUGUGGGAGCCGGGUAGUCCUUGGUCCAAGGCCAGCGUGGAGGAUCCUAUCCGGGCUGGAUCAUCUUAACCUUGGGGACCUAGCUCCGAGAGGGCUGGCCAGGUGACAUUCCAAGCACACUGGUUCCUGGGAAGGCGCCUUGGCCCUAGACUUCCCUCUGCCCAUCUGCCAGGGCCCCGAAGCUCCCCACUGGGACAGCUGGAUGCCAGGAGAAGCCGGGUCACGGGGGAGCAAAUGGCCAAGAUGGGAUUUGAACCCAGAUCCCCAUUCUUGGAGUUGGGAGCUUGGCCGAUCUCUGCUUCCCAGCUCCCUUCAUUUAACAAAGAGAGGAAAGCAAAACGAAGAGAAGAAAUGGGAUUUGCCCGGAUCCUCAGCAAGGCCGCGAGAGAAGCAGGAUUUGAAUCCAGACCUUCCCACUCCAGUACAAUCUUGUUUUGUUCUCGUACACACAAAACCUGCUUCUUCCUAUUUGUCCCUGCCCACUCUCACUCUAGAUCUGAGACUACUGAGCUCAUUGAGUGGCUUCAGUAAAUUACCCUGAGUAAAUUAUCCUGGUAGAGACCGAGGGCAAUCUGAGAAUCAUGGCUCUGGAGGGCUGUUCAAACACCCCCCCACCCCACCCCCAAGCUUCCUGAUGUAGGGAGUAGUAUGUUUGGGGGGAGAUAGUGAAGGGGGCUUCCUGGUAUGGAAAGUCCCUGCACCAGUGCUGCGGGCCUGCCAUUCUGUAACUUAUCUUCUUAGGAGCUUUGGGGGAGGGGAAGCAAGAGAUCAGGAAACUUGCUCAGAGUCACAUGGCUAGAAGUAUCCAAAGGAAGACUUGAACUCACAGUCAUUGUGGCCUUGGAAUCCCGUGCUUGCCUUCCUCGGUAACCGAGGAUAGGUGUCAUCACACCAUCUGACAGGGGAGGAAAUUGAGGCUCAGGCUAGCGGUAGGUUCGUGAAAAGGACGCACUGUUACAUGGAAGGGGAGACCCCUAAGGGAGCUUGUCCCGGCUGACCUAGUUGUUGCAUAUAUGCAGACACGCCGGUUUCAUGUGUGACCUAUGGGUGUGGGCUAAGGGAGAGCAAGGGCAUGUGCCUUCCUGCCUUUCUCUCUUAUUAUCCCUAACACAAUCAUCACUAUAGUGCCGGUUCCUAGAAAAGAGAGGGGGAAAUCCCCCCCCUUUCUCUGCAGAGGUGAGGGGUUAUGGGAAUGGAACAUCAUAUCCGCCCUCAGACUCGAUUGGUAUGUUCGGUCGUUUUGAUGAAACAACAUUCUCCCUUUCUCUUUUUUUAAUAUUAUGUCACUAGAAAUAGCUCCCUGGGUGCAGGAAAGAAGGGGGAAAGAUUCAGGGAAAUUUGGCCUGAAGAAGAGACUGUGGGGAGGAAGAAUUUAAAAGCUGUCUCGAAGAACCCGGAAGGCUGCCCCGUGGAAGAGCACCCAAGUCCAGCCAAACCGGCCUUCCUGCUGCUCCUCACCCAGAACAUCGCCUUUUCCAUCUCCAUGCAUUUGCCUUCUGCCUGAAAUGCUCACCAUCUCCCCUCUGCUUCUCCGAAUCCACCUUCUUUUCCCGAUUGCUCUCCUUCUCUCUCUCCAGUGACCUUGUAUUUAUGGGACAUAGACUGUAUAUGUGCUUAUCUAUGUGUAUACCUAUGUACAUUAAUAAAUGCACACGCAGAAAAGUACAAGAUAGAAUAGAAAUUUCUUGUAGUCUAGAUCAAUUAUUUAAAGGGGGGUGACAUUAUUUUUAUCUUUGAAGUCUCAGUGCUCAGGUUCAUAAUUGGUGCUUAAUAAAUGCUUUUAGACUGAUCCAGGAGGUGGAGGAAGCUGAGUUCUCUCAAGAUAAUACUUAUUAAAAGCUCUUAGUUCA